Molecule: ribosomal RNA, 779 nt
Filed under: Acinetobacter baumannii OIFC137
Lineage: Bacteria; Pseudomonadati; Pseudomonadota; Gammaproteobacteria; Moraxellales; Moraxellaceae
Description: bacterial SSU rRNA
Rfam family: Bacterial small subunit ribosomal RNA
Source: RNAcentral
AUUGAACGCUGGCGGCAGGCUUAACACAUGCAAGUCGAGCGGGGGAAGGUAGCUUGCUACCGGACCUAGCGGCGGACGGGUGAGUAAUGCUUAGGAAUCUGCCUAUUAGUGGGGGACAACAUCUCGAAAGGGAUGCUAAUACCGCAUACGUCCUACGGGAGAAAGCAGGGGAUCUUCGGACCUUGCGCUAAUAGAUGAGCCUAAGUCGGAUUAGCUAGUUGGUGGGGUAAAGGCCUACCAAGGCGACGAUCUGUAGCGGGUCUGAGAGGAUGAUCCGCCACACUGGGACUGAGACACGGCCCAGACUCCUACGGGAGGCAGCAGUGGGGAAUAUUGGACAAUGGGGGGAACCCUGAUCCAGCCAUGCCGCGUGUGUGAAGAAGGCCUUAUGGUUGUAAAGCACUUUAAGCGAGGAGGAGGCUACUUUAGUUAAUACCUAGAGAUAGUGGACGUUACUCGCAGAAUAAGCACCGGCUAACUCUGUGCCAGCAGCCGCGGUAAUACAGAGGGUGCGAGCGUUAAUCGGAUUUACUGGGCGUAAAGCGUGCGUAGGCGGCUUAUUAAGUCGGAUGUGAAAUCCCCGAGCUUAACUUGGGAAUUGCAUUCGAUACUGGUGAGCUAGAGUAUGGGAGAGGAUGGUAGAAUUCCAGGUGUAGCGGUGAAAUGCGUAGAGAUCUGGAGGAAUACCGAUGGCGAAGGCAGCCAUCUGGCCUAAUACUGACGCUGAGGUACGAAAGCAUGGGGAGCAAACAGGAUUAGAUACCCUGGUAGUCCAUGCC